AAUAAUACAAUGACUAAAAAUAUGUCAAAUUUAUAUUAAAAUAUAUAAAUAAUUCUACUUUAAUAACACUAAUUAAUAUAAAAUAUAUUAAAGAUAAUUAAUCAACGUAUUGAUAAAUUAAUAGUGCCAGCAAUCGCGGUUAUACUUUACAUAUAUAAUAUUCAAACAAUUUGAUUUUCAACAAUAACAAUACUUAUAAUAUUAAGUGAAAUUUCAUUAAAAAUUAAAACAACUUCAAUAACAAAUAAAAUCUUUCAUAUAAAAUAGGAUUAGAAACCCUAGUAUACUAAAACUUUAUUAGGUAGUAUUAAUUAUAAAAACCUAAUUAUAAUGGCGGCUCUUGUCUUAUUAGAGGAACUUGUUCCAUAAUCGAUAACCCCCGAUAACUUUCACUUCUAAAACAAACUUAUAUAUCACCAUCUAAAGAGAUUUUUCAAAUUAUUUCUCUAAAUAACAAAAUAAAAAGUUAGGUCAAGGUGUAGUCUACAUAAAAGAGAUCAAUGAGUUACACUAAUACCAAUUUAAGAAUAAUAAAAAUAAACUUUCAUUUGAAAAAGGAUUUAUAAGUAAUCUUUCAAUAUUAUUAUAACAUGAAUUAUAAUACAAAAGUGCACAUAUCGCCCGUCACCCUUAUCACAAGAUAAGGUAAGUCGUAACACAGUUGAUAUUUUGGAAAAAGUAUCAAG
This 686-nucleotide ribosomal RNA is filed under the name Corythalia opima. Its description in RNAcentral is "12S ribosomal RNA". The record is from RNAcentral. Lineage: Eukaryota; Metazoa; Arthropoda; Arachnida; Araneae; Salticidae.